UGCAGUCGAGCGAACAGAUAAGGAGCUUGCUCCUUUGACGUUAGCGGCGGACGGGUGAGUAACACGUGGAUAACCUACCUAUAAGACUGGGAUAACUUCGGGAAACCGGAGCUAAUACCGGAUAACAUAUUGAACCGCAUGGUUCAAUAGUGAAAGGCGGCUUUGCUGUCACUUAUAGAUGGAUCCGCGCCGUAUUAGCUAGUUGGUAAGGUAACGGCUUACCAAGGCAACGAUACGUAGCCGACCUGAGAGGGUGAUCGGCCACACUGGAACUGAGACACGGUCCAGACUCCUACGGGAGGCAGCAGUAGGGAAUCUUCCGCAAUGGGCGAAAGCCUGACGGAGCAACGCCGCGUGAGUGAUGAAGGUCUUCGGAUCGUAAAACUCUGUUAUCAGGGAAGAACAAAUGUGUAAGUAACUGUGCACAUCUUGACGGUACCUGAUCAGAAAGCCACGGCUAACUACGUGCCAGCAGCCGCGGUAAUACGUAGGUGGCAAGCGUUAUCCGGAAUUAUUGGGCGUAAAGCGCGCGUAGGCGGUUUUUUAAGUCUGAUGUGAAAGCCCACGGCUCAACCGUGGAGGGUCAUUGGAAACUGGAAAACUUGAGUGCAGAAGAGGAAAGUGGAAUUCCAUGUGUAGCGGUGAAAUGCGCAGAGAUAUGGAGGAACACCAGUGGCGAAGGCGACUUUCUGGUCUGUAACUGACGCUGAUGUGCGAAAGCGUGGGGAUCAAACAGGAUUAGAUACCCUGGUAGUCCACGCCGUAAACGAUGAGUGCUAAGUGUUAGGGGGUUUCCGCCCCUUAGUGCUGCAGCUAACGCAUUAAGCACUCCGCCUGGGGAGUACGACCGCAAGGUUGAAACUC
Molecule: ribosomal RNA, 864 nt
Filed under: bacterium W15C38a
Lineage: Bacteria
Description: bacterial SSU rRNA
Rfam family: Bacterial small subunit ribosomal RNA
Source: RNAcentral